UUAAAGGAAUUGACGGAAGGCCACACCAGGAUUGGAGCUUGCGGUUCAAUUUGACUCAACACCGGGAAUCUCACCCGACCCGGACACAGGAAGGAUUGACAGAUUAAGAGCUCUUUCUUGAUUCUGUGGGUAGUGGUGCAUGGUCGUUCGUAGUUGGUGGAGUGAUUUGUCUGGUUAAUUCCGAAUAACGAACGAGACUCUAGCCUACUAAAUAGACGUUCCGAUCCUUCGAGUCGGACGUUCUUCUUAGAGGGACAGGCGGCAUCUAGCCGCACGAGACAGAGCAAUAACAGGUCUGUGAUGCCCUUAGAUGUCCGGGGCCACACGCGUGCUACAUUGAAGGAAUCAGCGUGUGCUUUCCCUGUCCGACAGGAUUGGGUAACCCGUUGAAACUCCUUCGUGCUGGGGAUAGGAGUUUGCAAUUGUCCUCCUUGAACGAGGAAUUCCCAGUAAGCACGAGUCAUCAGCUCGUGCUGAUUACGUCCCUGGCCUUUGUACACAUCGCCCGUCGCUACUACCGAUUGAAUGAUUUAGUGAGGUCUUCGGACUGGCGCUCGGAUUGGCUUUCGGGUCGAGCCGACGUGCCGGAAAGAUGACCAAACUUGAUCAUUUAGAGGAAGUAAAAGUCGUAACAAAG
This 637-nucleotide ribosomal RNA is filed under the name Juanfernandezia sp. n. RC. Its description in RNAcentral is "SSU rRNA". It matches the Rfam family "Eukaryotic small subunit ribosomal RNA", at positions 1144 to 1799 of the family's 1831-position model. Lineage: Eukaryota; Metazoa; Arthropoda; Arachnida; Araneae; Linyphiidae. The record is from RNAcentral.